Molecule: small nucleolar RNA, 132 nt
Organism: Mastomys coucha (southern multimammate mouse)
Lineage: Eukaryota; Metazoa; Chordata; Mammalia; Rodentia; Muridae
Product: U8 small nucleolar RNA
Exons: 1
Source: RefSeq, a predicted model, not a curated record
UUGUCAGGAGGUUAAUCCUUACCUGUUCUUCCUCUCAGAGGGCAGUAGAACAUGAUUGGAGCUCGCAUGAUCUGCUGAUUAGCAUUUCCCUGUAAUCAGGACCUGACAACAUCUUGAUUGACAAAAAAAAAA